This 565-nucleotide ribosomal RNA is filed under the name Pseudicius reiskindi. RNAcentral's name for it is "eukaryotic LSU rRNA". Lineage: Eukaryota; Metazoa; Arthropoda; Arachnida; Araneae; Salticidae. The record is from RNAcentral.
GAAAUCCUGUGGCGAGAGGAUUCAGUCUGGCUGGCGGGACGCGGUGUCGGAAAACCGAGCAGGGCUUCCCUGGACAGGGGCCGUUCGRCGCCGCGACAUCYYGCGUUCCAGACGCAUUUGUCUCUCGUCCGAAGGACGCUGCAGCCGGUCUGGCAGUGCAAACGUGACGGCCUGGAGGUCGGGARAUGGCAGGUGGCCGGUGGCUCGCCUCGUGCGGGUCGUCGGUUGUUAGCCGUCCCGUCAGUGGCUCGUCGCCAGACCGUGGUGUCGCGAGUCCCUUCGGGGACUCCUCGUCUCCACCCCAGCGUCGCGGGACAGAUCGUGGCAAGGGUGUCRCGCCCUYCCGUCGCACCCCCUCGGUGUGGACGGAGAAGCGCGGUGCCCCGUUGGCYGCGGCGGACCCGUGGGGGACCGGAGGCUGGCAGCGAGUAGGUCGGUCACCCACCCGACCCGUCUUGAAACACGGACCAAGGAGUCUAACAUGUGCGCGAGUCAAUGGGUCUUGAACAGGCCCAGGGGCGCAAUGAAAGCGAAGGAAGRCCUAGMGUCUUCUGAGCGGGGAUCC